AUUGAACGCUGGCGGCAGGCCUAACACAUGCAAGUCGAGCGGAUGAAGGGAGCUUGCUCCUGGAUUCAGCGGCGGACGGGUGAGUAAUGCCUAGGAAUCUGCCUGGUAGUGGGGGAUAACGUCCGGAAACGGGCGCUAAUACCGCAUACGUCCUGAGGGAGAAAGUGGGGGAUCUUCGGACCUCACGCUAUCAGAUGAGCCUAGGUCGGAUUAGCUAGUUGGUGGGGUAAAGGCCUACCAAGGCGACGAUCCGUAACUGGUCUGAGAGGAUGAUCAGUCACACUGGAACUGAGACACGGUCCAGACUCCUACGGGAGGCAGCAGUGGGGAAUAUUGGACAAUGGGCGAAAGCCUGAUCCAGCCAUGCCGCGUGUGUGAAGAAGGUCUUCGGAUUGUAAAGCUCUUUAAGUUGGGAGGAAGGGCAGUAAGGUAAUACCUUGCUGUUUUGACGUUACCAACAGAAUAAGCACCGGCUAACUUCGUG
This 484-nucleotide ribosomal RNA is filed under the name uncultured bacterium. Its description in RNAcentral is "partial 16S ribosomal RNA". It matches the Rfam family "Bacterial small subunit ribosomal RNA", at positions 30 to 507 of the family's 1533-position model. The record is from RNAcentral.